RNAcentral lists this ribosomal RNA (253 nucleotides) under uncultured bacterium. RNAcentral describes it as "partial 16S ribosomal RNA". It matches the Rfam family "Bacterial small subunit ribosomal RNA", at positions 524 to 776 of the family's 1533-position model. The record is from RNAcentral.
UACAGAGGGGGCAAGCGUUAUUCGGAAUUAUUGGGCGUAAAGGGCGCGUAGGCGGCUUUGCAAGUGACGGGUGAAAUCCCUCGGCUUAACCGGGGAACUGCCUGUCAAACUGCAUGGCUUGAGACCGGGAGAGGUGAGUGGAAUUCCCAGUGUAGCGGUGAAAUGCGUAGAUAUCGAGAGGAACACCUGCGGCGAAGGCGGGUUGCUGGGCUGACACUGACGCUGAGGCGCGAAAGCGUGGGGAGCGAACAGG